Molecule: ribosomal RNA, 497 nt
Filed under: uncultured bacterium
Lineage: Bacteria
Description: partial 16S ribosomal RNA
Rfam family: Bacterial small subunit ribosomal RNA
Source: RNAcentral
GAUGAACGCUGGCGGCGUGCCUAAUACAUGCAAGUCGAGCGACCGGACGAUAAGCUCUCUCCUCUGAUGGUAGCGGCUGACGGGCGAGUGACACAUGGAUAACCUACCUAUAAUACUUGGAUGACUACGUGGAGCCGCAGCUGAUAAUGGAUAAUAUGUUGUACCGCAUGGUUCAAAAGUGAAACAGAGUCUUGCUGUCACUUUUAGACGGAUCCGCGCUGCAUUAGUUAGUUGGUAAGGUAACGGCCUACCAAGGCAACGAUCCGUAGCUGACCUGAGAGGGUGAUCAGCCACACUGGAACUGAGACACGGUCCAGACUCCUACGGGAGGCAGCAGUGGGGAAUAUUGGACAAUGGGCGCAAGCCUGAUCCAGCCAUGCCGCGUGGGUGAAGAAGGUCUUCGGAUUGUAAAGCUCUUUUAUUAGGAAAGAAAAGCAGCAGGUUAAAACCCCGCUGUUCUGACGGUACCUAAAGAAUAAGCACCGGCUAACUUCGUG